RNAcentral lists this ribosomal RNA (468 nucleotides) under uncultured bacterium. RNAcentral describes it as "partial 16S ribosomal RNA". It matches the Rfam family "Bacterial small subunit ribosomal RNA", at positions 28 to 507 of the family's 1533-position model. The record is from RNAcentral.
GACGAACGCUGGCGGCGUGCUUAACACAUGCAAGUCGAACGGAAAGGCCCUGCUUUUGUGGGAUGCUCGAGUGGCGAACGGGUGAGUAACACGUGAGUAACCUGCCCUUGACUUUGGGAUAACUUCAGGAAACUGGGGCUAAUACCGGAUAGGAGCUCCUGCUGCAUGGUGGGGGUUGGAAAGUUUCGGCGGUUGGGGAUGGACUCGCGGCUUAUCAGCUUGUUGGUGGGGUAGUGGCUUAUCAAGGCUUUGACGGGUAGCCGGCCUGAGAGGGUGACCGGCCACAUUGGGACUGAGAUACGGCCCAGACUCCUACGGGAGGCAGCAGUGGGGAAUAUUGCACAAUGGGCGGAAGCCUGAUGCAGCAACGCCGCGUGCGGGAUGACGGCCUUCGGGUUGUAAACCGCUUUCGCCUGUGACGAAGCGUGAGUGACGGUAAUGGGUAAAGAAGCACCGGCUAACUACGUG